AUUAUAGGUUUAUGUGAUGGAAGACUUGAUUUAUGCAGAAAGUACUUAAAUAACAUGCUGGUGAAGUAUCCAAAGGGGGCACUGUUUUUGUUUUUUGAUGGCAGAAUUAAGCAAGUAAAUGGGGAAAUUGAUGAGGCUAUUAAGAGCUUUGAUGACAGUAUUUCAGCUCAGGCUGAAUGGAAACAAUUUCAUUAUAUGUGUUUGUGGGAACAGCAGUGGUGUUAUUGCUAUAAAUGUGACUGGGCUAAUGCUGCUAAAUGUGCAGACAUCUUGAGGAAGGAAUGCCGUUGGUCUCCUGCUACCAGCUGUUAUCUGUAUGCUUCAUUUCUCUACAUGCAGGUACUAGAGGGACGAAAAGACAUGAUGGAUGAAAUAAUUUCUUUGUACAGACAAGUCCCAAACUUAAGGCAACGACUUGCUGGAAAAUCCAUUCCCAUUGAAAAGUUCUGUGUGAAGAAUGCAGAGAAGUUCCUUGGAAAUGGAAAUAAACUUGUACUUCCUAUUUUGGAGUUUGUCUAUAUGUGGCAUGGAUUCCCUGUCAUCUCUAAAGUCCCACCUUUACUUGAAGUUUAUCAUAAAAUGAUUGAAAAAAGCCUAACAGAUCUUCAUGAAACUAGUGGUGAAGUACAGGAAGUAGAUGAUUACUUGAUGCUAACUCUUUUACAAGGAAUGUGUUUAAAGUACCUAGACCGUAUUGAUCAAGCCGAACAGUGUUUUCGAGAAAUCAUUAACAGAGAGGGGGAGAUUAAAGAUAAAUUCCAUCUUCCACCAUAUGCUGCAGCUGAGUUAGCCUUCAUGAUGAUGGAGAAAGGGAAAAAAGAUGAUGCUUUGGAGUGGUUAAAAGCUGCUAAAUUCAAUUAUCAUGGUUACCUGACGGAAGUAGUUCUACAUUUUAGACUUUAUGCAGCCUACAAGAAAUUGAAUGGAAGCCAACAAGGAGAACCUGAAUCACCUACUAUUUGUAAACCAUUGCCGGGUGAGGCACCCUACUGCAUGUGACCCAAACAAAAUUAUAAAUAUUAAUUUUGCUGGAGGAGAGAAUCCUAUCAAGAAGAAUGUGGAAAAUAGUAUCUCAAAAUAGCCAACUUUUUUACCCUUUUUUAUUGCCUUUGCUUUAAAGUUCUUCCUGAAAAAGUUGUUAUUUCAAGAAAAAUGGGUCAUUUGUCAACAAGUUGGACAUCUAACUCUAAACAUGAUCAAUUAUGUGUGAGUCUGUGUG
RNAcentral lists this unclassified non-coding RNA (1219 nucleotides) under Limulus polyphemus (Atlantic horseshoe crab). RNAcentral describes it as "tetratricopeptide repeat protein 39A-like, transcript variant X3". Lineage: Eukaryota; Metazoa; Arthropoda; Merostomata; Xiphosura; Limulidae. The record is from RNAcentral.